UCACAUUACUCGCCUGAGCCACAUAGUCAUGAAUCACAGAGACUGAGCAUCACAGGAUGCUGGGGCUGGAGAAGACUGCAUAGACCAGCUGGUCCACCUUAGCACAUUAGAGAGAAAAGUGAAGCCUGAAGAGAGGCGGGCUUACUUAAUUUGCUCGGUAGCAGAGUCAAGCUGCCCACUCCAGUACUCCUGCCUGGAAAAUCCCAUGGAUGAAGGAGCCUGGAUUUUAGUUCCGGGCCAGAGAUCGAAUCCAUGCCCUUAGCAGAAGUGCGAAGUCAACCACUGGACCUCCAGGGAAGUUCCAAAAACGUUUGUUGUGGCCAACAUGAGUGGCUGCAUGACAUCACUCAUCCUGGGGCCUCAAUUCACCUCUCUGGUCAUCUUCUCGUUACACCUGAUGCUCCAGAAAUAUGAACCCAAAGGGCCGUGCAAUUGGGUCCAUAUAAUAC
Molecule: long non-coding RNA, 449 nt
Organism: Bos taurus (domestic cattle)
Lineage: Eukaryota; Metazoa; Chordata; Mammalia; Artiodactyla; Bovidae
Source: Ensembl